Molecule: transfer RNA, 67 nt
Filed under: Notospermus geniculatus
Lineage: Eukaryota; Metazoa; Nemertea; Pilidiophora; Heteronemertea; Lineidae
Description: tRNA-Val
Source: RNAcentral
UCAAGAGGAAGCAUUUGUAGAUGUGGCUCGCUUACGCUGAGAGGAAAGCCUUUGGCUUCUUUUGAUC